RNAcentral lists this ribosomal RNA (467 nucleotides) under uncultured bacterium. Its description in RNAcentral is "partial 16S ribosomal RNA". It matches the Rfam family "Bacterial small subunit ribosomal RNA", at positions 28 to 523 of the family's 1533-position model. The record is from RNAcentral.
GAUGAAUGCUGGCGGCGUGCCUAACACAUGCAAGUCGAGCGGCAGCGCGAGUAGUUUACUACUUGGCGGCGAGCGGCGGACGGCUGAGUAACGCGUGGGAACGUGCCCCAAAGUGAGGGAUAACGCACCGAAAGGUGUGCUAAUACCGCCUAUGGUCUUCGGAUUAAAGAAUUUAUUCGCUUUGGGAGCGGCCCGGGUCGGAUUAGGUGGUUGGUAGGGUAAUGGCCUACCAAGCCGACGAUCCGUAGCUGGUCUGAGAGGAUGAUCAGGCAGACUGGAACUGAGACACGGUCCAGACUCCUACGGGAGGCAGCAGUGAGGAAUCUUCCACAAUGGGCGAAAGCCUGAUGGAGCAACGCCGCGUGCAGGAUGAAGGCCUUCGGGUUGUAAACUGCUUUUAUAAGUGAAGAAUAUGACGGUAACUUAUGAAUAAGCACCGGCUAACUACGUGCCAGCCGCCGCGGUAA